Molecule: long non-coding RNA, 1422 nt
Filed under: Homo sapiens (human)
Lineage: Eukaryota; Metazoa; Chordata; Mammalia; Primates; Hominidae
Description: HSALNT0373491
Source: RNAcentral
CCUUGGUAGGGGCAUGCAGAAGACCUGAUGACACAAACCCUCCAAAGAGUUUCACCCUCACCACAACAGGUGGCUUCCUGCUCGGCAGCCCAUCCUGCAUCACUUCAGUGGACUUCUCUGACAUCUACUAGACCACAUUAAAUGAAUCACAGCCUUGAAACUGAACUGGAAGGACUUCCUUCAAGAUUUUUAUCUAAUUCCUGUUGGACAGUGUAAAAUGCCACUUCUUCCAGGGUUGCCUGCAUAUCAUCAAAAGGGAAAUAGUACUCAUCGAAGAUGUGCCUUUGCUAGGAACUAGGACAAGGGUGGCCUUUAUAAAUUCAUGAAGAGAAGGAGCCAGCAUAUGAACUUGCUGCCUAUCUUUAGCAAGGAGAUGCAAAUGACAUCCACAAACCUCUUCUGCUGUAUACCUGGAUGAAAGCAAGGCUAGCUGUGUGUCCUAUGGCACCAAGGACUGAAAGAUUGUAAGAAGUAAGAGGGAAAGUGAUCCAAAAAGGUGGAACACCUAAUGUACAGCCCCAAGGAAGGAGCAUACUUGGAGAAUUCAAGGAACAGAAAGAAAAACAGGAAGGCUGGAGUGAAACUGAUUAAAUAAAGCAUCGUAACAUUAGAGGUCCAUCAUAGAGGCCAAGCCAAAUACAACUAUGUUUUCAAGCAUAAGAUGGAUAGAUGUGGUAAACCACAAGAAGCAAACAGCCCUUUAGAGGUGUGGAUUGACCUUGCAGAGUUACAAGUGGAGCCAGGAGAAAUCAUGUUGAGUGGGACUUCUCAUCCUACCUAAGAGAGACUAACAGAUGGAAAGCUGGGUACAGAAGGGAGAGAAGGCAGUAACAGUCAGAUUUCAAUACGCUGAGACUGUGACGUGGGACUUUUGAGUGAGUAACAUCUGCUCCUAGAACUGAGUUGAGUGGGGAUCCUCCCACACCACCCAGGCAAGAGAACUAACAAUUGAUGACUGCUCCAAAUCAGUCGCCAGUCUACCUAAUACUUCUACCUGGUAGGUAGCCUGAUACCCACUAACAUCAGGUAGGUUCUAUAUGAUUAAUAGUUCAUAAGAUAAAUAUUAAUCAUUAGCAAUUUUCAAAGCUGAGGUACAGCUACUUCAAAAAUGAAGAAGGAAUGCAGAUGAAGAGUCUCCAGACUCUUCAAGAGACUCUCUGCAAGCAAAGUCUCCAGAGUUCUGAGGGAAAGAAGCAAACAAAGAAUCACAGCCAUUCUUUGAGGGAGCAACCUACUCAUUAAAGAAAUGCAAUCAUGAUUAUGCUGAUCAAAUGAAAAUCUCAAAAAUAGAGAGGCCAUGGGAAAAGGGCUAGUUAUGAGCACUGAAUUCAUUUACAUAUAAAACAAGGCAAAAUAAUUGUCAUAAUACUUUGUAAUGGUUAUAAACACCAAAUAAAUGUUAUAUAGAGGUGAAUCGCAUAA